This 416-nucleotide ribosomal RNA is filed under the name uncultured bacterium. Its description in RNAcentral is "bacterial SSU rRNA". It matches the Rfam family "Bacterial small subunit ribosomal RNA", at positions 28 to 446 of the family's 1533-position model. The record is from RNAcentral.
GACGAACGCUGGCGGCGUGCUUAACACAUGCAAGUCGAACGAUGAAGCCCAGCUUGCUGGGUGGAUUAGUGGCGAACGGGUGAGUAACACGUGGGUGAUCUGCCCUGCACUCUGGGAUAAGCCUGGGAAACUGGGUCUAAUACCGGAUAUGACCUCUUGCUGCAUGGCGAGGGUGGAAAGUUUUUCGGUGCAGGAUGAGCCCGCGGCCUAUCAGCUUGUUGGUGGGGUAAUGGCCUACCAAGGCGACGACGGGUAGCCGGCCUGAGAGGGCGACCGGCCACACUGGGACUGAGACACGGCCCAGACUCCUACGGGAGGCAGCAGUGGGGAAUAUUGCACAAUGGGCGAAAGCCUGAUGCAGCGACGCCGCGUGAGGGAUGACGGCCUCGGUGUAACGUACUUCUAGCAGGACGAAG